UCUAGAAAAGCCAAUCAUCGUCUCGAUGAAGUUUUCACAGUUGCGAUUUCGGAUUAUAGGACUAUCGCUGAGCUGGGAAAUGGAGCCCGCGGCGAGCCGAAUCUUCCUCCUGCUGCUCUGUGAGAGCCAGCUCCUGACCGAGAUCUGGGCGGGUUCCUUCUCCCUGAGAUAUUUUCACACUGCGGUGUCCCGGCCCGGCGGCGGACAGCCCAGGUACUUGGCAGUCGGCUACGUGGACGACACGCAGUUCGUGCGCUUUGACAGCGACGCUGCUGAUCCCAGGAUGGAGCCACGGGCGCCGUGGAUAGAGCAAGAGGGACUCGAGUAUUGGGAGGAACAGACUCAGCGCGCCAAGGACAUAGCAAGGAGUUUUCGAGUAAACAUGCGAACCUUGCGCGGCUACUACAACCAGAGUGAUUCUGGUUCCCACACACUCCAGUGGACCUACGGCUGUGACGUGGGCCGAGAUGGCCGCUUCCUGCGAGGCCAUAAUCAGUUCGCCUACGAUGGCACCGAUUACAUCUCCCUGAACGAGGACCUGCGCUCCUGGACCGCGGCGAACACCGCGGCUCAGAUCUCCAAGCACAAAUCUGAGGCAGCCCAAGAGGCUAAGUACCAAAGAGCCUACCUGGAGGGGGAGUGCGUGGAGUGGCUGAUCAAACACCUGGAGAAUGGGAAGGAGACCCUGCAGCGCAUAGACCCCCCGAAGACACAUGUGACUCACCACCCUAGCCCUGAAGGGGAUGUCACUCUGAGAUGCUGGGCCCUGGGCUUCUACCCUAAGGAGAUCACCCUGACUUGGCAGCGGGAUGGGGAGGACCAGACCCAGGACAUGGAACUUGUGGAGACCAGACCUGCAGGAGAUGGAAACUUCCAGAAAUGGGCAGCUGUGGUGGUGCCUGCUGGAGAGGAGCAGAGAUACACAUGCCAUGUGCACCAUGAGGGGCUGCCUGAGCCCCUCACCCUGAGAUGGGAGCCACCCCCUCAGGCCACCAUCCCCAUCGUGGGAAUUGCUGCUGCUGUGAUUGUCCUUGUCACUGGAGCUGUGGCCGGUUUUGUCUUGUGGAGAAAAAAAAACACAGGUAUAAAAAAAGGGCCCAAUGCUUCAGCUUUCUGUUUGGAAAUCAAGUAUGGAAAACAACUUUUUCCUAAAAAAUACAUAAAUUCACUUACAUGAAUUUCACUUCUCAAAUUCAGGAAAUCCCAUUUUUUCAGCUCUUUAUGUCAGGACUCCAUGUAAAUCUCAACCACUUCAUUCUUGCCAGGACUUAAAUUCCCCCAUUUGGAUUCCUGACAGACUGAUUCGACCUUAUGUCUAGCCUCCGGACCAUAUCAUGCCCUCCGAGUCUCCGACACGCCUCACCAUUGACCACAGUGCCUGAGGAAGAUUUGAUGACUACCUUGAUUCCAUCUUUCUCCCGAAUAAACUUUGAUGAUCCUCAAUCCUUAUUCAGAUGAUCAUCUUCAACAAGAUUUGCAGAAUUACCAGCUUGGGGACAAUUAAAACAAUUGACUCAUCAAGCUCGAGAACUCGAGAACUUAUUUCUACUCAGUCAAACCCCUGCACUCCUGAGAAAAUGUUUGUUACUAUGCUAGCUAUUCUUGCCUGUCAGGUAACCAAUGUGUCUUCUAAAUAUUAUUGGGCCUAUUAUCCUGAUCCACCUUUAUUUCAUCUCACUACUUGGGGAAAAGGAGAUAUUAAGGUAUUUACCAAUAAUACUAAUCUCCUGGGGGGUAAAUCUAAUUCUUUUAUUACUCCUAUAUCAACUCAUAAUUUUAGUUUUAAGGGUCAUAGUCAUUUACCUCCUCUGUGUUUUAGUUAUAAUAUUAUUCCAAUUGUGGGCUGCAUACCACUUAAUUAUAAAAUUUUUAUGACAUAUUCUCCAAAUGAGGAAAGUGAUAUAAAGGAUCUUUGGAUGCUUUCUAUUUUAA
Non-coding RNA from Ictidomys tridecemlineatus (thirteen-lined ground squirrel), 1932 nucleotides. Lineage: Eukaryota; Metazoa; Chordata; Mammalia; Rodentia; Sciuridae. The record is from RefSeq and is a predicted model, not a curated record.